UUUCACACUGUCAAGAAAAGCUUCUAUCGAGUUUAAAGGCGCCCGUACCGUAAACCGACACAGGUGGGUGAGGAGAGUAUCCUAAGGCCAGCGAGAGAACUAUUGUUAAGGAACUCGGCAAAAUGACCCCGUAACUUAGGGAGAAGGGGUGCCUGUCUAUGACAGGCCGCAGAGAAUAGGCCCAAGCGACUGUUUACCAAAAACACAGGUUUCUGCUAAGUCGCAAGACGAUGUAUAGGAGCUGACGCCUGCCCGGUGCUGGAAGGUUAAGGGGAUCUGUUAGAGCAAUCGAAGCAGUGAACUUAAGCCCCAGUAAACGGCGGCCGUAACCAUAACGGUCCUAAGGUAGCGAAAUUCCUUGUCGGGUAAGUUCCGACCCGCACGAAAGGCGUAACGAUUUGGGCACUGUCUCAACAAUAGACUCGGUGAAAUUGUAAUCCCGGUGAAGAUGCCGGGUACCUGCGACAGGACGGAAAGACCCCAUGGAGCUUUACUGUAGCUUGACGUUGGGUCUUGGUACUACAUGUACAGGAUAGGUGGGAGACUAUGAAGCAUGGACGCCAGUCUGUGUGGAGUCAUCCUUGGGAUACCACCCUUGUAGUACUGGGAUCCUAACCAUAGGCCUUGAAUCAGGUCUUGGAACACCGUCAGGUGGGCAGUUUGACUGGGGCGGUCGCCUCCUAAAAAGUAACGGAGGCGCUCAAAGGUUUCCUCAGCACGGUCGGAAAUCGUGCGAAGAGUGUAAAGGCAAAAGGAAGCUUGAUUGCAAGACAUACAGGUCGAGCAAGGACGAAAGUCGGACUUAGUGAUCCGGUGGUACCGCAUGGAAGGGCCAUCGCUCAACGGAUAAAAGCUACCCUGGGGAUAACAGGCUUAUCUCCCCCAAGAGUCCACAUCGACGGGGAGGUUUGGCACCUCGAUGUCGGCUCAUCACAUCCUGGGGCUGUAGUAGGUCCCAAGGGUUGGGCUGUUCGCCCAUUAAAGUGGUACGCGAUCUGGGUUCAGAACGUCGUGAGACAGUUCGGUCCCUAUCCGUCGCAGGCGUAGGAAAUUUGAGAAGACCUGUCCUUAGUACGAGAGGACCGGGAUGGACGUACCUCUGGUGUACCAGUUGUUCUGCCAAGGGCAUGGCUGGGUAGCUACGUACGGAAUGGAUAAGCGCUGAAAGCAUCUAAGCGCGAAGCCAACUUCAAGAUAAGAUUUCCCACCGUAAGGGUAAGACCCCAGGAAGACUACCUGGUUGAUAGGUCGAAGGUGUAAGUGCAGUAAUGUAUUUAGCUUAUCGAUACUAAUAGGUCGAGGACUUGACC
Molecule: ribosomal RNA, 1310 nt
Filed under: metagenome
Description: bacterial LSU rRNA
Rfam family: Bacterial large subunit ribosomal RNA
Source: RNAcentral